AUCACAAUAGCAAGAAGAAACACAGAACCAACCACAACACCCACCAAAAUACCUAUGAGAGCUUUCACACCUCCAUAGGGUGUGUAAGUCUGAGGAACGAGAGACGCAAUGCCACUUUGUGCAGCAAUAGUUGAAGCAAGCGACGUGUAUUGAAAUAUCGUCGUAACAUAUGUAGUCGGUUGAAUGGUAACGUACUCUGUCACAACAGAUACCUGCUGAUGAAUAGAAUUAUUGGUGCUGGAAGAAAUAAUUUCAUUUGAUGCUGAAACAUCUGAAGCUGUAAUCACUGACGUGCCUGAACUAGAACUGGUCGAAGUAGAGGAAGGUGAUGAGGAGGAGGUCGAUGGUUGACUAUCAUGGCUGGUGGAUAUAGAAGAAGAACUUGAGCUCGAAGAAGUUGAGGCCCUUCGGUAUAAACUAGGAAAUACGGUGCUCAAUGUACCAUAGUUUAUACUGACACUGGCAGAUGGUGCAAAAGUUCUAGGAGUAGCCCCAUCCACCACUAGAUAACUUAUGGCAGUAAAAAUUGAAAUCAAAAGAAAAGACCGGAUGUUCAUUGAUUUAAAAGAAGUUAUCG
Molecule: non-coding RNA, 577 nt
Organism: Schizosaccharomyces pombe (fission yeast)
Lineage: Eukaryota; Fungi; Ascomycota; Schizosaccharomycetes; Schizosaccharomycetales; Schizosaccharomycetaceae
Source: the annotation of a GenBank genome assembly